GGAGCCCCAGGAUCCAUUCAGCUGGUGAUUAACUGCAGGAAAGAUCCUGGGAAAUAGAUCAGGAACAGAAAGUAGUUUAUAUCAGCAUGAUCAUUAAAAUUUGAUCAAAAGCAGGGCUCAGCCAGUUACCUUUGGAGGGUUUGCUGAGAGUGAGUUCUGAGACGCAGUCGCCAGCCUUCCCCAUCGUGAACUCUCCCUGAAUUCCCAAGAAAUAUUUUGAGGCAACCCUGCAUAACGGGUCAGAAAGCAGUGGAGCAAAGCACAACUACUUGGAGUUUCCUACGUGGCGGCGACACUUCCCGAAUGCUGACGCUCUGCCCCUCUUCGAAGGCCUGCUUUUAUUUUUCCUGUCCAGGUCAUCUCUGCAAGUCAUUAAAGUUAAAGGUUCCGACUGUGCUAUUCUAGAAAAGACAAGAACAACAGACUCCUUAAGGCUAGCCCAGGCAUGUUCUCAUGGCACGGUGGAGAGACACUACAGAGGAAGUGGAAUCAUGCAGGCUAUUCAACCUUCUAAGUGUGAGAUGUUGCUAACUACCAUCCCGUUGGCCAAAGAAAUAGCCUUGGACUAUAGAGACAGUGGCUCCCUGUGGAGCAGAGGGCAGAGAGCAGGUGUC
Molecule: long non-coding RNA, 614 nt
Filed under: Equus asinus (donkey)
Lineage: Eukaryota; Metazoa; Chordata; Mammalia; Perissodactyla; Equidae
Description: lncRNA (ENSEASG00005036926.1)
Source: RNAcentral